AUGGCGGAACGCUUGGCUUCGAUAUUUGGUACAGAGAAAGAUAAGGUCAACUGUCCAUUUUACUUCAAGAUUGGAGCUUUUCUUCAUGGCGAUCACUGCUCUCGCAUCCAUAACAGGCCAACCAUGAACAUGUAUCAGCGCCCUGAUAUGAUUACCCCUGGUCACACGAUCCUUGGAAAUUAA
Molecule: ribosomal RNA, 183 nt
Filed under: Triticum aestivum (bread wheat)
Lineage: Eukaryota; Viridiplantae; Streptophyta; Magnoliopsida; Poales; Poaceae
Description: partial small subunit ribosomal RNA
Source: RNAcentral